AACGAACGCUGGCGGCGUGCCUAACACAUGCAAGUCGUGCGAGAAAGUUCCUUCGGGAGCGAGUAAAGCGGCGCACGGGUGAGUAACACGUAGGUAACCUGCCCCCCAGUCUGGAACAACUAGAGGAAACUCUAGCUAAUGCCGGAUGAGACCACGAUCCCUUCGGGGGUUGCGGCCAAGGAUGGCCUCUACUUGUAAGCUAUCGCUGAGGGAUGGGCCUGCGGGCCAUUAGCUUGUUGGUGAGGUAACGGGCUCACCAAGGCUGUGAUGGCUAGCUGGUCUGAGAGGAUGACCAGCCACACUGGGACUGAGACACGGCCCAGACUCCUACGGGAGGCAGCAGUGGGGAAUAUUGCGCAAUGGGCGAAAGCCUGACGCAGCGACGCCGCGUGGGUGAUGAAGGCCU
Molecule: ribosomal RNA, 406 nt
Filed under: uncultured bacterium
Lineage: Bacteria
Description: bacterial SSU rRNA
Rfam family: Bacterial small subunit ribosomal RNA
Source: RNAcentral